Molecule: ribosomal RNA, 468 nt
Filed under: uncultured bacterium
Lineage: Bacteria
Description: partial 16S ribosomal RNA
Rfam family: Bacterial small subunit ribosomal RNA
Source: RNAcentral
GACGAACGCUGGCGGCAUGCUUAACACAUGCAAGUCGAACGGAAAGGCCCUGCUUUUGUGGGGUGCUCGAGUGGCGAACGGGUGAGUAACACGUGAGUAACCUGCCCUUGACUUUGGGAUAACUUCAGGAAACUGGGGCUAAUACCGGAUAGGAGCUCCUGCUGCAUGGUGGGGGUUGGAAAGUUUCGGCGGUUGGGGAUUGACUCGCGGCUUAUCAGCUUGUUGGUGGGGUAGUGGCUUACCAAGGCUUUGACGGGUAGCCGGCCUGAGAGGGUGACCGGCCACAUUGGGACUGAGAUACGGCCCAGACUCCUACGGGAGGCAGCAGUGGGGAAUAUUGCACAAUGGGCGGAAGCCUGAUGCAGCAACGCCGCGUGCGGGAUGACGGCCUUCGGGUUGUAAACCGCUUUCGCCUGUGACGAAGCGUGAGUGACGGUAAUGGGUAAAGAAGCACCGGCUAACUACGUG